Molecule: long non-coding RNA, 560 nt
Filed under: Ananas comosus (pineapple)
Lineage: Eukaryota; Viridiplantae; Streptophyta; Magnoliopsida; Poales; Bromeliaceae
Description: long non-coding RNA (ACOM_LNC002493)
Source: RNAcentral
ACAUUGUAUGUACAUGUUUUGUUGAUCGCAAUUUAUAUUUUGUUAUUAACUAUAUUCAGUGUAGCUAGCUAAGAGCUUGAUGACCGGUACCCGAGAUUUCAAGUUUGAAGUCUAAUCGCUUUACACGUAUAUAAAAAAGGUAAAACUAUACAUAACUUAUCUGAGCUAUAAUUCAUUUUGAAUUAAUUGUCUGAUCUUUCAAAAUUUUAGCUUUAUUACUCAAUCUUUCAAUUUUAUCUGAUUUGAGCUGGUCAACAGCACAUUGAUUUUAAAAUUUAAGCUAAUUGCUUACAUUAUUAAACUUAUAGUUGCGAGAAUUAUAUAGAAUAUUAUGAACUAACUAAAUCUGUAAAGAUAAACAAUAUAUUUAAUUUUUGAAGUCAAAGUGCCGUUAACUACCGACUAAAAUCAAACCAAUUAAAAAAAUCAGAUAAUAAAAUCAAAAUUUUAAAAUAUCAUAAAAUGGUCUAUAAUUCAAAUAAGUUUUAGAUAUUUUUGCCAUAACAAUAAUAAUAAUAAAUGAUGUUGAUAACUUGCUACAUCCCCCCCCGGGACAAAAA